Molecule: non-coding RNA, 552 nt
Organism: Pteronotus mesoamericanus
Lineage: Eukaryota; Metazoa; Chordata; Mammalia; Chiroptera; Mormoopidae
Source: the annotation of a RefSeq genome assembly
AUGGUAUGUCCCCAGCCAGUGCUGAGCCAGUCUCAGGACCACAAGCUCCUCAGGCAGCCCCUGACCCCCCGGCUGAUUUGCAUACCCAGCAGCUGCCUCCCCAGCAAGGGGAUAAGAGAGGCCCAGGAGGAGCCCUGCCCAGCUCGGGGUCAGGGACCAGAAGCAGGCAACUCCGCCAUGGCCUGGACCCCUCUCCUCCUCGGCCUCCUCGCUCACUGCGCAGGCUUUGCGGCCUCCUAUGAGGUGACGCAGACGUCCUCAGUGUCGGUAAAUCUGGGACAGACAGCGAGGAUCACCUGUGAGGGAGACAACAUUGGAAGUAAAUAUGCUUCCUGGUACCAGCAGAAGCCCGGCCAGGCUCCUGUAACGGUCAUCUAUCGUGACAGCAACCGGCCCUCAGGGAUCCCUGACCGAUUCUCAGGCUCCAACUCGGGGAACACGGCCACCCUGACCAUCAGCGGGGCCCAGGCCGAGGACGAGGCGGACUAUUUCUGUGCAGCAGGGCAUAGCAGUAUUAAUGCUCACAGUGACACAGGCAGACGGGGGAAGUGA